This 429-nucleotide ribosomal RNA is filed under the name uncultured bacterium. RNAcentral's name for it is "bacterial SSU rRNA". It matches the Rfam family "Bacterial small subunit ribosomal RNA", at positions 355 to 796 of the family's 1533-position model. The record is from RNAcentral.
UCGAGGAUCUUCGGCAAUGGGCGAAAGCCUGACCGAGCGACGCCGCGUGUGCGAUGAAGGCCUUCGGGUUGUAAAGCACUGUCGAGGGGGAGAAAAGGCAACCUGAUCGACCCCUGGAGGAAGCUCGGGCUAAGUUCGUGCCAGCAGCCGCGGUAAGACGAACCGAGCGAACGUUAUUCGGAAUCACUGGGCUUAAAGGGCGCGUAGGCGGGCCGUCAAGUCAGGGGUGAAAGCCUCCAGCUCAACUGGAGAAGUGCCUUUGAUACUGGCGGCCUCGAGGGAGGUAGGGGCGUGCGGAACUUCCGGUGGAGCGGUGAAAUGCGUAGAUAUCGGAAGGAACACCAGUGGCGAAGGCGGCGCGCUGGACCUCUUCUGACGCUGAGGCGCGAAAGCCAGGGGAGCGAACGGGAUUAGAUACCCCGGUAGUCC